Molecule: transfer RNA, 75 nt
Filed under: Candidatus Woesearchaeota archaeon
Lineage: Archaea; Nanobdellati; Candidatus Woesearchaeota
Description: tRNA-Arg
Rfam family: tRNA
About the family: Transfer RNA (tRNA) molecules are approximately 80 nucleotides in length. Their secondary structure includes four short double-helical elements and three loops (D, anti-codon, and T loops).
Source: RNAcentral
GGACCCGUAGCUCAGCUUGGAUAGAGCACUAGCCUUCUAAGCUAGGGGCCGAGGGUUCAAAUCCCUUCGGGUCCG